This 464-nucleotide ribosomal RNA is filed under the name uncultured bacterium. RNAcentral's name for it is "partial 16S ribosomal RNA". It matches the Rfam family "Bacterial small subunit ribosomal RNA", at positions 339 to 795 of the family's 1533-position model. The record is from RNAcentral.
CUACGGGGCGCUGCAGUGGGGAAUAUUGGACAAUGGGCGCAAGCCUGAUCCAGCCAUGCCGCGUGUGUGAAGAAGGCCUUCGGGUUGUAAAGCACUUUCAGUUGGGAGGAAAGGUUAGUCGCUAAUAUCGGCUAGCUGUGACGUUACCAACAGAAGAAGCACCGGCUAACUCCGUGCCAGCAGCCGCGGUAAUACGGAGGGUGCAAGCGUUAAUCGUAAUUACUGGGCGUAAAGCGUACGCAGGCGGUUGAUUAAGCGAGAUGUGAAAGCCCCGGGCUCAACCUGGGAACUGCAUUUCGAACUGGUCAACUAGAGUGUGAUAGAGGGUGGUAGAAUUUCAGGUGUAGCGGUGAAAUGCGUAGAGAUCUGAAGGAAUACCGAUGGCGAAGGCAGCCACCUGGGUCAACACUGACGCUCAUGUACGAAAGCGUGGGGAGCAAACAGGAUUAGAUACCCCAGUAGUC